RNAcentral lists this transfer RNA (70 nucleotides) under Neotoma lepida (desert woodrat). It matches the Rfam family "tRNA". Rfam says of the family: Transfer RNA (tRNA) molecules are approximately 80 nucleotides in length. Their secondary structure includes four short double-helical elements and three loops (D, anti-codon, and T loops). The record is from Rfam by way of RNAcentral. Lineage: Eukaryota; Metazoa; Chordata; Mammalia; Rodentia; Cricetidae.
GGAGAGAUGGCUCAGUGGUUAAGAGCACUGGCUGCUCUUCCAGAGGACCUGGGUUCAAUUCCCAGCACCN